Mastomys coucha (southern multimammate mouse) is the source of this 580-nucleotide long non-coding RNA. RefSeq lists it as uncharacterized. The record is from RefSeq and is a predicted model, not a curated record. The transcript is spliced from 2 exons. Lineage: Eukaryota; Metazoa; Chordata; Mammalia; Rodentia; Muridae.
AUUCAUCGGAGAGAGAAAUAGCCUGGCACGAGAAAGGAAUUAAAUAUCCUUUGAAAGGCAGUGAAAUUUUUAGAAUUUUGUUGUUUUUCAGACCUAUGAAAUCAAUGAAGUUUUCCUACGAAAAAGCUACCUGUGAACUCAAGUUGCUGAUGUGGGGAAAGUGCAGUGUGUGGAGAUUUGAAGUAAGAGAAAAUGGAAGAGAGACCCUUGGCAAGUUCAUAGGUCCCCAGAUGGAGCCAGUCUGUUCUUCGAUCAACAGUCUUGUCUUGCUACUAAGAUCAGGUCCAACUCUAGAUCUGGGAUCUACAGUCUCCCUGGCAACGUUUGAGCACACAGUCUAACAUUCAAGAGGAGAAAGUUGCUUUAACUCUCUACGUGUAUAAAGACACAUGUACAUGUAAAAGACAAUAAUGCAUACCUGACCCAAGGAAGGCAAACCAUCACAUAUUCCAGCUGACUCUCACCUGCUGCUCUAUCAAUUCCAGGCAGUUAUGCUACAUUGUAAUGAUUGAUUAGCUAUGCUAGUGAGUAUUUAAACAUGGAUGGAUCACUAAUAAAUAAAUUGUGAGUUAACAUAGGU